RNAcentral lists this ribosomal RNA (254 nucleotides) under uncultured bacterium. RNAcentral's name for it is "partial 16S ribosomal RNA". It matches the Rfam family "Bacterial small subunit ribosomal RNA", at positions 524 to 776 of the family's 1533-position model. The record is from RNAcentral.
UACGUAGGGGGCAAGCGUUGUCCGGAAUCAUUGGGCGUAAAGAGCGCGUAGGCGGCCCUGUAAGUCCGCUGUGAAAGUCAAGGGCUCAACCCUUGAAUGCCGGUGGAUACUGCAGGGCUAGAGUCCGGAAGAGGCGAGUGGAAUUCCUGGUGUAGCGGUGAAAUGCGUAGAUAUCAAGAGGAACACCUGAGGCGAAGGCGGGUUGCUAGGCUGACACUGACGCUGAGUGCGCGAAAGCCAGGGGAGCAAACGGG